AACGAACGCUGGCGGCAGGCCUAACACAUGCAAGUCGAGCGAGAUCUUCGGAUCUAGCGGCGGACGGGUGAGUAACGCGUGGGAACGUACCCUUUUCUACGGAAUAGCCUCGGGAAACUGGGAGUAAUACCGUAUACGCCCUUUGGGGGAAAGAUUUAUCGGAGAAGGAUCGGCCCGCGUUGGAUUAGGUAGUUGGUGGGGUAACGGCCUACCAAGCCGACGAUCCAUAGCUGGUUUGAGAGGAUGAUCAGCCACACUGGGACUGAGACACGGCCCAGACUCCUACGGGAGGCAGCAGUGGGGAAUCUUAGACAAUGGGGGAAACCCUGAUCUAGCCAUGCCGCGUGAGCGAUGAAGGCCUUAGGGUUGUAAAGCUCUUUCAGCUGGGAAGAUAAUGACGGUACCAGCAGAAGAAGCCCCGGCUAACUCCGUG
RNAcentral lists this ribosomal RNA (433 nucleotides) under uncultured bacterium. RNAcentral describes it as "bacterial SSU rRNA". It matches the Rfam family "Bacterial small subunit ribosomal RNA", at positions 29 to 507 of the family's 1533-position model. The record is from RNAcentral.